GUUGACCUCGGAUCAGGUAGGGAUACCCGCUGAACUUAAGCAUAUCAAUAAGCGGAGGAAAAGAAACCAACAGGGAUUGCCCCAGUAACGGCGAGUGAAGCGGCAGGAGCUCAAAUUUGAAAUCUGACCUCCUCCGGGGGUCCGAGUUGUAAUUUGCAGAGGAUGCUUCGGGUGCGGCCCCCGUCUAAGUUCCUUGGAACAGGACGUCAGAGAGGGUGAGAAUCCCGUCUUGGGCGGGCGCCCGCGCCCGUGAGUCCC
This 258-nucleotide ribosomal RNA is filed under the name Trichophyton verrucosum. RNAcentral's name for it is "partial 28S ribosomal RNA". It matches the Rfam family "Eukaryotic large subunit ribosomal RNA", at positions 1 to 256 of the family's 3401-position model. Lineage: Eukaryota; Fungi; Ascomycota; Eurotiomycetes; Onygenales; Arthrodermataceae. The record is from RNAcentral.